RNAcentral lists this ribosomal RNA (867 nucleotides) under Parastagonospora nodorum. Its description in RNAcentral is "LSU rRNA". It matches the Rfam family "Eukaryotic large subunit ribosomal RNA", at positions 78 to 965 of the family's 3401-position model. Lineage: Eukaryota; Fungi; Ascomycota; Dothideomycetes; Pleosporales; Phaeosphaeriaceae. The record is from RNAcentral.
CCCUAGUAACGGGAGUGAAGCGGCAACAGCUCAAAUUUGAAAUCUGGCUCUUUCAGAGUCCGAGUUGUAAUUUGCAGAGGGCGCUUUGGCGUUGGCAGCGGUCCAAGUUCUUUGGAACAGGACGUCACAGAGGGUGAGAAUCCCGUACGUGGUCGCUAGCCUUCGCCGUGUAAAGCCCCUUCGACGAGUCGAGUUGUUUGGGAAUGCAGCUCUAAAUGGGAGGUAAAUUUCUUCUAAAGCUAAAUACUGGCCAGAGACCGAUAGCGCACAAGUAGAGUGAUCGAAAGAUGAAAAGCACUUUGGAAAGAGAGUCAAAUAGCACGUGAAAUUGUUGAAAGGGAAGCGCUUGCAGCCAGACUUGCCUGUAGUUGCUUAUCUGGACUUUUGUCCAGUGCACUCUUCUGCGGGCAGGCCAGCAUCAGUUUGGGCGGUUGGAUAAAGGUCUCUGUCAUGUACCUCCUUUCGGGGAGGCCUUAUAGGGGAGACGACAUGCAACCAGCCUGGACUGAGGUCCGCGCAUCUGCUAGGAUGCUGGCGUAAUGGCUGUAAGCGGCCCGUCUUGAAACACGGACCAAGGAGUCUAACAUCUAUGCGAGUGUUUGGGUGUCAAGCCCAGACGCGUAAUGAAAGUGAACGGAGGUGGGAACCUUUUAGGUGCACCAUCGACCGAUCCUGAUGUCUUCGGAAGGAUUUGAGUAAGAGCAUAGCUGUUGGGACCCGAAAGAUGGUGAACUAUGCUUGAAUAGGGUGAAGCCAGAGGAAACUCUGGUGGAGGCUCGCAGCGGUUCUGACGUGCAAAUCGAUCGUCAAAUUUGGGCAUAGGGGCGAAAGACUAAUCGAACUAUCUAGUAGCUGGUUCCUGCCGAU